This is a long non-coding RNA of Corvus hawaiiensis (hawaiian crow), 157 nucleotides long. RefSeq lists it as uncharacterized. Lineage: Eukaryota; Metazoa; Chordata; Aves; Passeriformes; Corvidae. The record is from RefSeq and is a predicted model, not a curated record. The transcript has 3 exons.
GGGUCAGGAGGCCUGGCUGCCACCUGCAUGCCCUUGAUCCCCUGCUGAAUGAGCUGCACUGAGCAAGGUGUGGUGCAUGGUAAAAAGAUGAGAGUUGCUGUAGCACCUGAGAGGAGAAACAGCAUUGGUUUAACCCAUGAGGAAGAGUGGCUGCAAA